UGGAAUAUAAGUGAAUGGAAAACAGACUGCUUGCUAAGCAGUUGCCGGUAAUACGGUUGCAGGUUCGAGUCCUGUAUAUUCCGU
RNAcentral lists this transfer RNA (84 nucleotides) under Weissella confusa. Its description in RNAcentral is "tRNA-Ser(gct)". It matches the Rfam family "tRNA". Rfam says of the family: Transfer RNA (tRNA) molecules are approximately 80 nucleotides in length. Their secondary structure includes four short double-helical elements and three loops (D, anti-codon, and T loops). The record is from RNAcentral. Lineage: Bacteria; Bacillati; Bacillota; Bacilli; Lactobacillales; Lactobacillaceae.